RNAcentral lists this ribosomal RNA (442 nucleotides) under uncultured bacterium. RNAcentral's name for it is "partial 16S ribosomal RNA". It matches the Rfam family "Bacterial small subunit ribosomal RNA", at positions 338 to 795 of the family's 1533-position model. The record is from RNAcentral.
CCUACGGGAGGCAGCAGUGGGGAAUAUUGCACAAUGGGGGGAACCCUGAUGCAGCGACGCCGCGUGAGUGAAGAAGUAUUUCGGUACGUAAAGCCCUAUCAGCAGGGAAGAAAAAAGGACGGUACCUGAGCAAGAAGCCCUGGCUAACUACGUGCCAUCAGCCGCGGGAAUACGUAGGGGGCAAGUGUUAUCCGGAAUUACUGGGUGUAAAGGGAGCGUAGGCGGCAAUGCAAGUCCGGAGUGGACUGCGGAGGCUCAACUGCCGAACUGCUCUGGAAACUGUAUGGCUUGAGUGAAGGAGGAGUAAGCGGAAUGCGUGGUGUAGCGGUGAAAUGCGUAGAUAUCAGGAGGAACACCGGUGGCGAAGGCGGCUUACUGGACUGUCACUGACGUUGAGGCUCGAAAGCGUGGGGAGCAAACAGGAUUAGAUACCCUUGUAGUC